This is a long non-coding RNA of Camelina sativa (false flax), 703 nucleotides long. RefSeq lists it as uncharacterized. The record is from RefSeq and is a predicted model, not a curated record. NCBI's taxonomy places the organism in Eukaryota, Viridiplantae, Streptophyta, Magnoliopsida, Brassicales, Brassicaceae.
UCAUCCCUCCACACCCUUUCACUGCCUCUCCUAUCUUUCAUCUCCAUAGUAACGGUUUUGUGUAAAAUUAAUUUGAAUUGAUUAAUUUUAAUUACUUUUGCCACCCUUAGUCAUGGCUGCUUCCCUACCUUCUAAUCUUUUCUUCUGCCCUGAGAAAAUAUCUUUCCUCUGUUAAUUGGUUGAUUUCUUACUCAAAGUAUUCAACGCGAUGCUUUCAUAUUCUCAGUUUAAACAUGUCUUGGUUUACUAUCUCGAAUUAUUUAUCUUGUAUAUAAAGAGUUGCUUUUUUCGUCUUCUUCUUCAGGCAUUGGAAUCUUUCUAUAAGAAGUUCGAUCCAGAUUUCAUCAACAUCAGGACAAAGGCCAAAGACGUAUUAUUUUCAGAGGGAAGACGAUCUUAAUGAAAUUGUCCAGGGUGUUUUUGGAAGCUUAUUAUUUAUGAUCUGAUCAUCCCCGCUUCUGAAUUUUCACUACUCCUCCUACGAUUCUGGUGGAUGGUGUUAUGAUCGCUGAUUUACUUCUUUUUUGGAAUGUCUCUUAGGAUCUGCUAAGUUUGGGCUCCUCUGAUGCAUAAGACAACCGUAGCAUCUCCAUCUUCAGCUACAAUUUCCUGAUAUCAACAAAUGGGUGGGAAACAAAGUAUAGACUAAAAAUUUAAAUGAGGUAAAAAAAUGUUUAUAACAAUCUAGAAAAAUAAUUCAACC